This is a small nuclear RNA of Ailuropoda melanoleuca (giant panda), 106 nucleotides long. The record is from Ensembl. Lineage: Eukaryota; Metazoa; Chordata; Mammalia; Carnivora; Ursidae.
CUGCUCACUUUGGCAGCACAUGUGCUAAACUGGAAAGAUACAGAAAAGAUUAACAUGUUCCCUGCAUAAGGAUGACACGCAAAUUCAUGAAGUGCUCCAUUAUUUA